This is an RNA transcript of Panicum virgatum (switchgrass), 1892 nucleotides long. It is a transcript of the gene named E3 ubiquitin-protein ligase makorin-like, with no coding region annotated. The record is from RefSeq and is a predicted model, not a curated record. Lineage: Eukaryota; Viridiplantae; Streptophyta; Magnoliopsida; Poales; Poaceae. The transcript has 8 exons.
UUCUUAAAGCUUUUCCCUUCUCUCGGACUCUCUCCUCCCUUGCUCUUCCUUCCCCGGCGGCGACGACUGGGCGAGCGGCGGCGCCAUUCGUCCUGUCUUCUCCCUGCCCUUUGCCGGCGAUGAGCGCAUCCUCCAGGGUUCUUUGCAAGUUCUUCAUGCAUGGAGCUUGCUUGAAAGGAGAGUAUUGUGAGUUCUCCCAUGACUGGAAAGAUCAAGCGAAUAAUGUUUGCACAUUCUACCAGAAAGGUGCAUGCUCAUAUGGUAGCCGUUGCAGAUAUGACCAUGUCAAAGUUUCUCGUAACCCUACAGUGCCUCUGCCAUCACCAUCACCAUCGUCAAGUACUGCAAGACUUGCAUCUACUUCUCGUCAACUUUCAAGUUUCGGUCAUCCUCCUCGCGCGGGACACCAAACAGAUUCAAGCACUCAAAGAAAUCAGAUAUCUGUGGAUGUGCCAGCACAUUCUGCCAGUAAGCCUGCAUGGAGAAAUGAUUUUCAACAUGUUGUUUCAGAGGAUGGAAUUGACUGGUCCUCUAACCAAACUUUGCAAAACCAGACAUCAUUGAAACAUGCUGAUCUUCCUAUUUGUUCUUUUGCUGCUGCUGGCAAUUGUCCUUAUGGGGAAGGGUGCCCUCAAAUGCAUGGAGAUCUUUGCAGUACCUGUGGAAAAAUGUGCUUGCAUCCUUAUCGUCCUGAUGAGAGGGAGGAGCAUAUCAAGUUAUGUGAGAAAAACCACAAACGCCUUGAAGCUCUGAAACGCAGCCAAGAGAUAGAAUGCAGUGUCUGUUUGGACCAUGUGCUAUCAAAGCCUACUGCUGCUGAAAGAAAGUUUGGACUGUUAUCUGAAUGUGAUCAUCCUUUCUGUAUUGCAUGCAUUAGAAAUUGGCGUAGCAAUUCUCCUGCAUCUGGUAUGGAUGUGAAUUCAGCACUAAGGGCAUGUCCAAUAUGUCGCAAACUUUCGUACUAUGUCAUUCCAAGUGUUCUUUGGUACUUCUCCAAGGAAGAGAAGGAGGAGAUCAUUGAAAGCUACAAAUCCAAGCUCAAGUCUAUAGAUUGCAAGUACUUCGAUUUUGGGACUGGCUCAUGCCCCUUCGGUACAAGUUGUUUCUACAGGCAUGCCUAUAGGGAUGGACGCUUGGAAGAGGUCGUACUGCGGCAUCUUGAUGCUGAUGAUGGAAGUACAGUAAUUGCAAAAAAUAUCAGGCUAUCAGAUUUCCUCAGUCGGAUGCAUCUUUAGGGAUUACCAGCUGUAUAUAUAUAUAUCAAUGCAUUCUGGGAUAUCAUUAUCCACCAAUUAUUUGCAAUAUUCUGAAGAGCAGUUUAACUUGAGGCAUCUUCGGAAACCACAGCUUUCUCUCCAUUUAGUGGUGGUUGCUUUGUCGCCAGUUGAACAAAGAAAUUUUGAAGUUCUCUGCUGUCUGGCUAGAUGCCUGGAUGACCUCUUGAAAGAAGCACAGUUGACCCAAGGACGACGGGGAAACAGUCCCAGAAGAAUUGUGCUGGAAUGUCAAAGCAGAAGUAAAACAAUUUAUAGAUUUCACUAUAUGCGCUUGAGUGCUGGUCUUCUGGGUUGCCAGUGAUUCAGUAGAACAUUUCCUGGCUGUCAGUAAAAUGGCAGGUGUGUGUGUAAAAUACUUCCCUUCUACCUUGGCGCUCAUAUUGUGUUGAGGAAGGGUUCAGCACCGUUGCACCAAUCAGUCAACUGAGGCCAUUUGGUUGUAUUAGUUAUUAUACGGAAGGUCGACAAAACAGAAAAUGAAACGCAGAAUGGUCAUUGUCCUACAGCGAAUUCUCCUACAGCUGAGUCGAAGUGGUAAUAGUGCUUAAAUUUAUGUGAAAAUUAACGAAUGACCACAUGAUGGUCACUAUUCUGCAGUGGUUUUCAAGUGCAAAA